AUGUGCUCAAUCUCAAAGAAAAAUAUAUACUUUGCAUAUACAUAUAAAUUCACUUAACGUAUAUUUCUUUCAAUAGUUAAUCGACUAUCAUCGCGAAAGGUUGGAUAUCAGUGCAAAAGAGGGAACACGUAAAAUUGCAAAGAAAGGUGGUGUUUAAAACACAAAUAAAAAAAAAUUUAAAAAAGUUGAAAAUUGCUUAAUUAAAUUCUUCUAAACCUAAGCAAAAGCGAAAAUAAACAAAAAUGAGCUCAAAAUCAUACUUUGAAGAUUCGCGUGACGAAAGUCAGGGCGGCAAACUUUCCCGGAAGGUAAAGGAUUCACCAUUCAUGGUUAUUGGUUUGGCUGGUUUCGUAGCAGCUGGUUUAAUUGGCGCAUACAAGUAUAAGCAUCGUGGUACGAUGAGCACAAGUGUUUUUCUGAUGCAACUUCGUGUAGCAGCGCAAGGCACCGUAGUCGGCUGCCUGACGUUGGGUCUGGCUUAUAGUAUGGCCAACGAGUAUCUUUUUAAGGACAAAACACCCAAAGAAAAGUAAUGCUGACUGAUAACACUUUGGAAUUAGUUAAUAGUAUAUGCUUGUAUUUCUAAAUAAUCGUUUAUAUGUAAAUAUCAAUUUGAAAUCAUAAACAUAAAAUCCGCUUUUAUAAUGGAGAUUUAACUCGCAAUCAGAAGGUUAACUGCUGAAUGCCAGUUUAAGUACAUACUCUGCAAUGUGAAAAUGAUACCAAACGACUGUAAAAACAUAAUUCAAUGAUAAUGCAAGUGUUGCUUGAAAGUCUUUUAAGCAUGGAUACCACAGAUAUUAGCUUUAUUUGUUAACUCUUUUAAGCUAAUUUUUACACUAAUUCAUUUGUUUUGUACAUAUUACCAAAUUGUCCAACUAAAAAACCACAAUUUGUUAGCUGCACUUACAUACUACAACUACAUACCAGAAAGGAGCGAACAUUCAGAACAAAAGUGUAUAGAAACUGCGUUAUUGAAAAAAUAAUCACACGUUUGAGUAAUUGUAUCCACGGCAAAUUUAGCAACAGUUAAAAGCAUUCAACCCAGACACCUAAGACCAUCUGUGUACCCACAUAUGUACAUACUUUUAAACAUUGUCAACUUGAAUACAUAAUUUAUUACUUAACAAUAGAAUACCAUACGCACUACAAGUAAGUUAAGAAGGAAAUGGCUAUUAAACCAUUAAAUCGCGUACUUUAAACGCUGAGAUCCUAUUGCCUGUGAUAUGCAAUGUAAUGCGAUUAUAAAGUUUUGUGAACAGAGAUGCUAAAUAUCAAUUAUUGCAGGAAUGGGUUGUGGAGAAAUACAUACGAAAGUUGUUUUUGUUAAUGAU
Rhagoletis zephyria (snowberry fruit fly) is the source of this 1334-nucleotide RNA transcript. It is a transcript of the gene named HIG1 domain family member 1A, mitochondrial, with no coding region annotated. Lineage: Eukaryota; Metazoa; Arthropoda; Insecta; Diptera; Tephritidae. The record is from RefSeq and is a predicted model, not a curated record.